GGGAGGCCUCCUAAAGAUGGGCUGCUGCCUCUUUAGUGCGUCUUGCUGCCGCCGAGCGGAAGUCUCUGAGGAGCAAAGGUUGAGAGGAAACCACACUCUUGCUCAGGGUGCCCGCAGUCAGGGAGUCGCCUGAGAGGCAGGUGUGAGAAGGCCCAGGGGAGGGAGGGUGUGAAGCUGUGUCUCCCAGUCCCUGUUCAGUGUCAAGGACAAAACUAGGUCACAGAGCUCCAGGGGAAGCAAAGCCCCAUGCUCCCCCAGGCUGGGCCUGGCUGGCAAAGUGGGUCCCAGGCACUCUGGUGCCCAGCCUCUACCUUCCGCUUCCUGAGCUCAUCCUCUGGUCUUCACACAGCUUUCAGGGUGCAGAUGGCUCUCAGAGCGUUUUUAAAAAGAAGGCAAGAAAGGCAGAGAGAAGAAGGAAAGGGGGAGAGGAAAAGGCCUGGACAACCUUCUCACUUCCCGCCACCACCCGGACGUCUGAGUGAAGAACCGGAAACUGAAGACAUGUGAAGGGGCCAGAUUCAAUCUCAGACCUGCCUGUGGGCGCAUCCCGGGUGGGCAGGAGAGGCGAUGGGUGAUGUGUCUGGGUGGCACUCUGCCCGCAGCCCAGUCCUGAGCUCGGCCCAUGUGGGCACCCAGCAAUCAUUGAAAGAGAAAGGAAUCAGUGGAUGGAGAAAUGCAGGCUUUGGUGAAGACAGCCUCAUGAACCACAGGUCAGGGGCUUCUUGGGAUGUCUGAAUCACAUAUGAAUGAGUCACUUAUGAUAUUUACCUAUUGGCUUACUUAUCUUAUUUAAGAAUGUCUACUUACAAGAUACAAGCAAAAAUCACACAAUCGGGAGCAAAAUUUGCAGACUACGACAUGAAUAAUUAGAGACUUUAAAAAAUGUGUUUCUAUCUAAAAGAUGUGCGUGCGUGCUCAGUUGCUUCAGUUGUGUCCGACUCUUUGUGAACCCAUGAACUGUAGCCCAUCAGG
Bubalus bubalis (water buffalo) is the source of this 972-nucleotide long non-coding RNA. RefSeq lists it as uncharacterized. NCBI's taxonomy places the organism in Eukaryota, Metazoa, Chordata, Mammalia, Artiodactyla, Bovidae. The record is from RefSeq and is a predicted model, not a curated record. The transcript is spliced from 3 exons.